RNAcentral lists this non-coding RNA (337 nucleotides) under Pseudomonas oryzihabitans. Lineage: Bacteria; Pseudomonadati; Pseudomonadota; Gammaproteobacteria; Pseudomonadales; Pseudomonadaceae. The record is from RNAcentral.
CUGCUCGACCCUGCUUCAGGUGUCGCGACUCCGCCAUGGGUCGCGGUGAAACGGGAAGCCGGUCCAAGUCCGGCACUGCCCCCGCAACGGUAGACGAGCGCAGGAUCACGAUGCCACCCGGCCGGCAAGCUUGGGGAAGGCGAUCCUGGUAGUCGUACGGGAAUGCGAUCUUGAGCGAGCCCGCGCACGGCAAGACGAAACCUUCGUAGCAAGCGUCAUUUACAGGGUGUAGAUGAGUCUUGCGGAGAAGGAUUCGACAACGCCGGGCCGAGCGCAGCCAGCCCGCCCCCACAAGACCCUCGUGAGUCCGGAGACCGGCCUGUCGCCUUCAAGCAAC